RNAcentral lists this ribosomal RNA (420 nucleotides) under Fusobacteriota bacterium. RNAcentral describes it as "Fusobacteria bacterium partial 16S ribosomal RNA". It matches the Rfam family "Bacterial small subunit ribosomal RNA", at positions 355 to 776 of the family's 1533-position model. The record is from RNAcentral. Lineage: Bacteria; Fusobacteriati; Fusobacteriota.
UGGGGGAUAUUGCACAAUGGGCGAAAGCCUGAUGCAGCGACGCCGCGUGGGGGAUGAAGGCCUUCGGGUUGUAAACUUCUUUUGCUCUGAACAAGGCAUGCCUGUGGGGUGUGUUGAGUGUAGGGGUUGAUUAGCGCCGGCUAACUACGUGCCAGCAGCCGCGGUAAUACGUAGGGCGCGGGCGUUGUCCGGAAUUAUUGGGCGUAAAGGGCUUGUAGGUGGCUGGUUGCGUCUGUCGUGAAAGCCCAUGGCUUAACUGUGGGUUUGCGGUGGGUACGGGCUGGCUUGGGUGGAGUAGGGGAGGCUGGAAUUCCUGGUGUAGCGGUGGAAUGCGGAGAUAUCAGGAGGAAUACCGGUGGGGAAGGCGGGUCUCUGGGCUGUUACUGACGCUGAGGAGCGAAAGCGUGGGGAGCGAACAGG